This 1161-nucleotide ribosomal RNA is filed under the name Escherichia coli. RNAcentral's name for it is "partial 23S ribosomal RNA". It matches the Rfam family "Bacterial large subunit ribosomal RNA", at positions 1 to 1194 of the family's 2925-position model. The record is from RNAcentral. Lineage: Bacteria; Pseudomonadati; Pseudomonadota; Gammaproteobacteria; Enterobacterales; Enterobacteriaceae.
GGGUUGUGAGGUUAAGCGACUAAGCGUACACGGUGGAUGCCCUGGCAGUCAGAGGCGAUGAAGGACGUGCUAAUCUGCGAUAAGCGUCGGUAAGGUGAUAUGAACCGUUAUAACCGGCGAUUUCCGAAUGGGGAAACCCAGUGUGAUUCGUCACACUAUCAUUAACUGAAUCCAUAGGUUAAUGAGGCGAACCGGGGGAACUGAAACAUCUAAGUACCCCGAGGAAAAGAAAUCAACCGAGAUUCCCCCAGUAGCGGCGAGCGAACGGGGAGCAGCCCAGAGCCUGAAUCAGUGUGUGUGUUAGUGGAAGCGUCUGGAAAGGCGCGCGAUACAGGGUGACAGCCCCGUACACAAAAAUGCACAUGCUGUGAGCUCGAUGAGUAGGGCGGGACACGUGGUAUCCUGUCUGAAUAUGGGGGGACCAUCCUCCAAGGCUAAAUACUCCUGACUGACCGAUAGUGAACCAGUACCGUGAGGGAAAGGCGAAAAGAACCCCGGCGAGGGGAGUGAAAAAGAACCUGAAACCGUGUACGUACAAGCAGUGGGAGCACGCUUCGGCGUGUGACUGCGUACCUUUUGUAUAAUGGGUCAGCGACUUAUAUUCUGUAGCAAGGUUAACCGAAUAGGGGAGCCGAAGGGAAACCGAGUCUUAACUGGGCGUUAAGUUGCAGGGUAUAGACCCGAAACCCGGUGAUCUAGCCAUGGGCAGGUUGAAGGUUGGGUAACACUAACUGGAGGACCGAACCGACUAAUGUUGAAAAAUUAGCGGAUGACUUGUGGCUGGGGGUGAAAGGCCAAUCAAACCGGGAGAUAGCUGGUUCUCCCCGAAAGCUAUUUAGGUAGCGCCUCGUGAAUUCAUCUCCGGGGGUAGAGCACUGUUUCGGCAAGGGGGUCAUCCCGACUUACCAACCCGAUGCAAACUGCGAAUACCGGAGAAUGUUAUCACGGGAGACACACGGCGGGUGCUAACGUCCGUCGUGAAGAGGGAAACAACCCAGACCGCCAGCUAAGGUCCCAAAGUCAUGGUUAAGUGGGAAACGAUGUGGGAAGGCCCAGACAGCCAGGAUGUUGGCUUAGAAGCAGCCAUCAUUUAAAGAAAGCGUAAUAGCUCACUGGUCGAGUCGGCCUGCGCGGAAGAUGUAACGGGGCUAAACCAUGCAC